Molecule: ribosomal RNA, 508 nt
Filed under: uncultured bacterium
Lineage: Bacteria
Description: partial 16S ribosomal RNA
Rfam family: Bacterial small subunit ribosomal RNA
Source: RNAcentral
AUUGAACGCUGGCGGCAUGCCUUACACAUGCAAGUCGAACGGCAGCGGGGGAGAAGCUUGCUUUUCCUGCCGGCGAGUGGCGAACGGGUGAGUAAUACAUCGGAACGUGCCCUGUAGUGGGGGAUAACUAGUCGAAAGAUUAGCUAAUACCGCAUGCGACCUGAGGGUGAAAGUGGGGGGCCGCAAGGCCUCAUGCUAUAGGAGCGGCCGAUGUCUGAUUAGCUAGUUGGUGGGGUAAAGGCCUACCAAGGCGACGAUCAGUAGCUGGUCUGAGAGGACGAUCAGCCACACUGGGACUGAGACACGGCCCAGACUCCUACGGGAGGCAGCAGUGGGGAAUUUUGGACAAUGGGCGAAAGCCUGAUCCAGCAAUGCCGCGUGUGUGAAGAAGGCCUUCGGGUUGUAAAGCACUUUUGUCCGGAAAGAAAUGGCUCUGGUUAAUACCUGGGGUCGAUGACGGUACCGGAAGAAUAAGGACCGGCUAACUACGUGCCAGCAGCCGCAGUAA